GAGUUUGAUCCUGGCUCANGGAUGAACGCUAGCGGCAGGCUUAAUACAUGCNAGUUCNAACGGUAACNUGAGAGCUUGCUCUUGAUGACNAGUGGCGCACGGGUGCGUAACGCGUAUGCNACCUACCCUUUACUGGAAGAUAGCCCGGAGAAAUUCGGAUUAAUACUCAUAGUACUAUAAAACAGCAUUGUUUAAUAGUUAAAGAUUUAUUGGUAAAGGAUGGGCAUGCGUGACAUUAGUUAGUUGGUGAGGUAAUGGCUCACCAAGACGAUGAUGUCUAGGGGUUCUGAGAGGAUGAUCCCCCACACUGGUACUGAGACACGGACCAGACUCCUACGGGAGGCAGCAGUAGGGAAUAUUGGUCAAUGGGCGAGAGCCUGAACCAGCCAUGCCGCGUGUAGGAUGACGGCCUUCUGGGUUGUAAACUACUUUUAUAUAGGAACAAAUAGACCAUGCGUGGUAAGUUGAGUGUACUAUAUGGAUAAGCACCGGCUAACUCCGUGCCAGCAGCCGCGGUAAUACGGAGGGUGCAAGCGUUGUCCGGAUUUAUUGGGUUUAAAGGGUGCGUAGGUGGCGUGUUAAGUCAGUGGUGAAAGCCUGCAGCUCAACUGUAGAGGUGCCAUUGAUACUGACAUGCUUGAGUAUGGACGAGGUAGGCGGAAUUUGUGGUGUAGCGGUGAAAUGCAUAGAUACCACAAAGAACACCGAUAGCGAAGGCAGCUUACUGGACCAUAACUGACACUGAGGCACGAAAGCGUGGGGAG
This 764-nucleotide ribosomal RNA is filed under the name uncultured bacterium. Its description in RNAcentral is "bacterial SSU rRNA". It matches the Rfam family "Bacterial small subunit ribosomal RNA", at positions 9 to 768 of the family's 1533-position model. The record is from RNAcentral.